GUGUGUGUGUGUGUGUGUGUGUGUGUGUGUUUGUUUCAAGCAAGUGUUGAGCUACGUGUUGGCCGCACCCCACUCAUUACUCAGCAGUGGGAAGCAAGCAGUGUACACUACCUGGCUCUGGUAAUCACUACCUGUCAAGACUCCGGGAGAUACGCCAUGUUCGUGUUGGGCGUGAGCAGAGUGGUGUUGCUGUGGUUGGUGUGGUGGUGUGGAGCCUCGCGGGGCGGCCAGCCUAGUGUCAUCUUGGUCGAGUCGCCACAGGGGAAUAUUUUCGUAGUGGAGAACACUGGAUUCGCUCAAUAUGAUGCCUUCCUUGCUUUUACCACCAGUAGCGCCUGCAGCUGCAAGAUCCAGUGUAUGGUGAGAGAAGAGUGCGCAACUUGGUCUCGGAGGAUGAGCGAUAAUCAGAGUGUGUGCGCGCUCUCUCGAAGGGGCCCU
Non-coding RNA from Cherax quadricarinatus, 438 nucleotides. NCBI's taxonomy places the organism in Eukaryota, Metazoa, Arthropoda, Malacostraca, Decapoda, Parastacidae. The record is from RefSeq and is a predicted model, not a curated record.